This 73-nucleotide transfer RNA is filed under the name Stegodyphus mimosarum. It matches the Rfam family "tRNA". From Rfam's summary of the family: Transfer RNA (tRNA) molecules are approximately 80 nucleotides in length. Their secondary structure includes four short double-helical elements and three loops (D, anti-codon, and T loops). The record is from Rfam by way of RNAcentral. Lineage: Eukaryota; Metazoa; Arthropoda; Arachnida; Araneae; Eresidae.
GCCUUUGUGGUGUAGUGGUCAGCACGCUCGACGCGUAACCGAGAGGUCCGUGGUUCGAAUCCCGGCGAGGGCA